RNAcentral lists this long non-coding RNA (500 nucleotides) under Panax ginseng (ginseng). Its description in RNAcentral is "long non-coding RNA (PGIN_LNC018722)". Lineage: Eukaryota; Viridiplantae; Streptophyta; Magnoliopsida; Apiales; Araliaceae. The record is from RNAcentral.
UCCACUCAAUAAAUCCUUGAUAAAACCCUCUUUUCGUUGAUUGGAAAGGCUAAAGAAAACCACCAUCAACUCCUCCUUACGAGCAAGCUUGAACAUGACCUUGUUACGUUCACCAUCAGUUAGACCGGACACAUUACUCAACGCAUCAUUGAGAUUCUUAUGUUGCUCAUUUAAUGAAACCUCCAAUCCAAGAAAGUUAGCAAAUUGAGUAGAUGAUUUCUCGAGUUAUACAACGAGAAUAGUAGCAUCCCUCUCCAUGGCAGAUUCAGAAUUAAUAGCGAAACUUGACUUUCUCUUCCUUUUCUUGAAACUAGAGGACUUGCUAAAUAUUUCUUCACUGCGGGUUGAAGUAAAGCCAUCAUCUCCAUCAUUUGUUUGGAUCUCUUCAUCUAACUCAAUCAUUUCCGCAGCCGAUAGAUCAUCUCUAUCCUUGCCAAAUAUAAUAGAUCCAAAUAAUUUGAAAAUGUCUUGUUCUAUAACUUUGCUCUCUUUUGGUGCAC